RNAcentral lists this ribosomal RNA (478 nucleotides) under uncultured microorganism. Its description in RNAcentral is "bacterial SSU rRNA". It matches the Rfam family "Bacterial small subunit ribosomal RNA", at positions 9 to 479 of the family's 1533-position model. The record is from RNAcentral.
GAGUUUGAUCUUGGCUCAGGACGAACGCUGGCGGCGUGCCUAAUACAUGCAAGUCGAGCGGAUCUUCAUUAGCUUGCUUUUGAAGAUCAGCGGCGGACGGGUGAGUAACACGUGGGCAACCUGCCUGUAAGACUGGGAUAACUUCGGGAAACCGGAGCUAAUACCGGAUAAUCCUUUUCCUCUCAUGAGGAAAAGCUGAAAGACGGUUUCGGCUGUCACUUACAGAUGGGCCCGCGGCGCAUUAGCUAGUUGGUGAGGUAACGGCUCACCAAGGCGACGAUGCGUAGCCGACCUGAGAGGGUGAUCGGCCACACUGGGACUGAGACACGGCCCAGACUCCUACGGGAGGCAGCAGUAGGGAAUCUUCCGCAAUGGACGAAAGUCUGACGGAGCAACGCCGCGUGAGCGAUGAAGGCCUUCGGGUCGUAAAGCUCUGUUGUCAGGGAAGAACGAACGUAUCGGAGUAACUGCCGGUACC